RNAcentral lists this ribosomal RNA (2316 nucleotides) under Triticum aestivum (bread wheat). Its description in RNAcentral is "partial small subunit ribosomal RNA". Lineage: Eukaryota; Viridiplantae; Streptophyta; Magnoliopsida; Poales; Poaceae. The record is from RNAcentral.
AUGGCCUCAGCUCAGGAAAAGGCGGCGCUCUGCUGCGGGGGCCCCGCGCGCGAUGCCCCCAGGGCGGCGAUCGCCGCGCCCGGGAAGGCGGUCUCCAUGUCCGCGGCCGCCGCCGGCGGUUCCGCUGCCGGGGGCGGCGCCGUGAUGGACGACAUCGCGUCCGCGGCCCAGCCCACUACCGCCAAGGCCUCCUCUAAAGGGAUACCCAUAAUGACGAGAGCUCAAAGAUUCCACCCUUUGGACCCAUUAUCUGCUGCCGAAAUUGCAGUGGCUGUUGCAACUGUAAGAGCCGCUGGAAAAUCUCCUGAGGAACGUGACAGCAUGCGUUUUGUUGAAGCUGUGCUACUGGAACCAGAAAAGAAUGUUGUAGCAUUAGCCGAUGCCUACUUUUUCCCGCCGUUCCAACCAUCACUGCUCCCUAGAACCAAAGGCUCUGCCGUCAUUCCGAGCAGGUUACCUCCCAGGAGGGCUAAGCUUGUUGUCUACAAUAGACAUUCAAAUGAGACUACCAUUUGGAUAGUAGAACUAUCUGAAGUGCAUGCAGCUACUAGAGGUGGACAUCACAGAGGGAAGGUGAUAUCAUCUGAACUUGUUCCAGAUGUACAGCCUGCAAUGGAUGCUAUGGAAUAUGCUGAGUGUGAAGCUACUGUCAAAAAUUAUCCUCCAUUUGUUGAAGCUAUGAAGAAAAGAGGUGUGGACGACAUGGAACUUGUCAUGGUAGAUGCCUGGUGUGCUGGCUACUACAGUGAUGCUGAUGCUCCCAGUCGCAGACUUGCCAGGCCUCUAAUCUUUUGCCGAACUGAGAGUGAUAGUCCCAUGGAGAAUGGUUAUGCUCGUCCUGUGGAAGGGAUCCAUGUUGUUGUUGAUAUGCAGAAUAAUAUUGUCAUAGAGUUUGAAGACAGGAAGUUUGUUCCACUGCCCCCACCAGAUCAUUUGAGAAACUACACUCCUGGAGAAACUAGAGGUGGUGUUGAUCGAAGUGAUGUGAAACCUCUUAUUAUCAAUCAGCCUGAGGGCCCAAGCUUCCGUAUUAAUGGCUAUUUUGUGGAAUGGCAGAAGUGGAAUUUCCGUAUUGGCUUCACCCCUAAAGAGGGUUUGGUCAUCUACUCUGUUGCAUAUGUUGAUGGUAGCCGUGGACGUAGACCUAUAGCUCAUAGGCUGAGCUUUGUUGAGAUGGUUGUUCCUUAUGGAGACCCAAGUGAACCACAUUAUCGCAAAAAUGCUUUCGAUGCUGGAGAAGAUGGACUUGGCAAAAAUGCUCAUUCUCUUAAGAAGGGGUGUGAUUGCUUGGGUUACAUCAAGUAUUUUGAUGCACACUUCACGAACUUUACCGGUCAUGUGGAGACAAUUGAGAACUGUGUGUGUCUCCACGAGGAGGACCAUGGAAUCCUUUGGAAACACCAAGAUUGGAGAACUGGUUUAGCAGAAGUUAGGCGAUCAAGGAGGCUCACGGUGUCGUUUAUCUGCACAGUUGCCAACUAUGAAUAUGGUUUUUACUGGCACUUUUAUCAGGAUGGUAAGAUAGAAGCUGAAGUAAAACUUACUGGAAUUCUGAGUUUGGGAGCUCUGAUGCCUGGGGAAUCAAGGAAAUAUGGUACAACUAUUGCUCCUAGUCUGUAUGCACCUGUCCACCAGCAUUUCUUUGUUGCCCGUAUGGACAUGGCUGUUGAUUGCAAACCUAACGAAGCUCAUAAUCAGGUGGUUGAAGUGAAUGUCAAAGUCGAAAGUGCAGGCACAAAUAAUGUGCACAACAAUGCUUUCUAUGCUGAAGAAAAAAUACUGAAAUCCGAGUUGCAAGCAAUGAGAGAUUGUGACCCUUCAUCUGCGCGACAUUGGAUUGUUAGGAACACAAGGGCUGUAAAUCGUACCGGACAACCAACUGGUUUCAGACUCGUGCCUGGUUCAAACUGUUUGCCAUUUGCUCUGCCCGAGGCAAAGUUUCUUCGAAGAGCAGGGUUCCUAAAGCACAAUCUUUGGGUGACACCAUACAAGAGCGAUGAGAAGUUUCCUGGAGGGGAGUUCCCCAACCAGAAUCCACGUCUUCACGAGGGUUUGGCUACUUGGGUGAAGAAGGAUAGACCCUUGGAGGAAACUGACAUCGUCCUCUGGUAUGUAUUUGGGCUCACCCACAUCCCAAGGCUUGAAGACUGGCCGGUCAUGCCGGUGGAACGCAUCGGCUUCAUGCUCAUGCCACAUGGAUUCUUCAACUGCUCGCCUGCUGUUGACGUGCCUCCUGGCACUUCUGAUGCCGCCGAUGUCAAGGAAGCAGAGUCGCCUAAAGCCAUCCAGAACGGCAGCCUUGUUUCCAAGCUCUGA